UUUCUUAGCAGAUUAAUGCCUUAGAUUUAGAAUCUAAAUACCUCAU
Molecule: transfer RNA, 46 nt
Filed under: Nemesia sp. CRBAME001107
Lineage: Eukaryota; Metazoa; Arthropoda; Arachnida; Araneae; Nemesiidae
Description: tRNA-Leu
Source: RNAcentral